GCCGCUGUGGCUUAGAGGCAUAGCGGCGGUUUCGUAAACCGCAGGUCGAGGGUUCGAAUCCCUCCAGCGGCU
This 72-nucleotide transfer RNA is filed under the name Methanomicrobiales archaeon. RNAcentral describes it as "tRNA-Thr". It matches the Rfam family "tRNA". From Rfam's summary of the family: Transfer RNA (tRNA) molecules are approximately 80 nucleotides in length. Their secondary structure includes four short double-helical elements and three loops (D, anti-codon, and T loops). RNAcentral also lists the same sequence under 1 other name. Lineage: Archaea; Methanobacteriati; Methanobacteriota; Methanomicrobia; Methanomicrobiales. The record is from RNAcentral.